RNAcentral lists this small RNA (720 nucleotides) under Pan troglodytes (chimpanzee). RNAcentral describes it as "processed transcript". Lineage: Eukaryota; Metazoa; Chordata; Mammalia; Primates; Hominidae. The record is from RNAcentral.
CAGGAUUCCGGGGACUGGAGGGCAGCGCCGGCAGCCAAGAUGCAACUUCUCCAGGAGUGCUUAUGUUACCCAAAGAGAAACAGAUGCACAAAGAGAAGGAAUGAGAUGCUCGGGGAUAUUUUAUCAAGGAAACCAGCAAACCAUCUUUUUCCUGAAGACCUUUUAAGAUUAGGACAAGCAGCUGUUUAUAAAAGCAGAACAGUGUUAAGAUUUGAACUGUCAAGUAGGAUCAUGCUUUGAAGUAUAUUCUGGCUAAAAGCAGGGGAUAAACUAGAUAAAACUUGGAGACUCUAAGGCCUGUCCCUGAUUAAGUGGGCCUACAAGUGAGAAUCUGAAGAACAGCUCUCUGGCUGAACAUAUCCCUUGGAUGUUGUUAUUACCAGCUGCCUCUAGAUUUGAGAACAGUGCUGAGCAUGCUUUUAAAUGAUCUUUGAGGUACUUUAAGCUACCUACACCUGAAAGCAUACCUAGCCCUCAUUUCUGUUUGCUUGAACAAGAGCCUGAAAAAGAAGUCUAAAGAACUUUCUAGUGAUAUCCUUCACUCCUGUUCUAAAAAGAACCUGUGUUCUUCACCGAGUUAAGGAAAUUUCACAACUCCCAGGGGCUAAUGUGGAGUUCAUUUUCACUUACUGCUGAAUCAACUGAAGUUCCUUUCAGAGUCUUUUCCUAGAGUGGAAAAGUAUCUGAGCUCUUCAACCUACUAUUCAUUAGUGCUGAGAG